CGCCCAUUAGCUAGCCUAAAAACCUAAAAACAACAAACCAUAUUAAUACCCCCUCAACCACUGAACAUUACAAAACAAAUCAUUUUUCCCUCCAAGUAUGUGCGACAGAAAAGAG
This 115-nucleotide ribosomal RNA is filed under the name Scolopsis bilineata (two-lined monocle bream). Its description in RNAcentral is "partial 16S rRNA". The record is from RNAcentral. Lineage: Eukaryota; Metazoa; Chordata; Actinopteri; Spariformes; Nemipteridae.